AUUAACGCUGGCGGCGUGCAUAACACAUGCAAGUCGAACGAUGAAACUUUUUUGAUUUCUUCGGAAUGAUUAAAAGUGGAUUAGUGGCGGACGGGUGAGUAACGCGUGAGUAACCUGCCUUAGAGAAGGGGAUAGCCUUUGGAAACGAAGAAUAAUACCCUAUGAAACCAUAACCUCGCAUGAGGAAUUGGUCAAAGAUUUAUCGCUCUAAGAUGGACUUGCGUCUGAUUAGUUAGUUGGUGGGGUAACGGCCCACCAAGACAGCGAUCAGUAGCCGGCUUGAGAGAGUGUACGGCCACAUUGGGACUGAGACACGGCCCAGACUCCUACGGGAGGCAGCAGUGGGGAAUUUUGCACAAUGGGGGAAACCCUGAUGCAGCGACGCCGCGUGAUUUAGAAGGCCUUCGGGUUGUAAAAAUCUUUUCUAUGGGAAGAAAAUGACAGUACCAUAGGAAUAAGGACCGGCUAAUUACGUG
This 476-nucleotide ribosomal RNA is filed under the name uncultured bacterium. RNAcentral's name for it is "partial 16S ribosomal RNA". It matches the Rfam family "Bacterial small subunit ribosomal RNA", at positions 29 to 507 of the family's 1533-position model. The record is from RNAcentral.